RNAcentral lists this unclassified non-coding RNA (241 nucleotides) under Hevea brasiliensis (rubber tree). Lineage: Eukaryota; Viridiplantae; Streptophyta; Magnoliopsida; Malpighiales; Euphorbiaceae. The record is from RNAcentral.
AGAUAGCCUCCAUAAAUGUUAGGAUAAAAACUAACGUCGUUUAGCCAUAAAAACCAGCAAAGAAAAAUCCAUGGUAGUGGAGAUCUUGAGGUGAUUACAAUUGAUGCUAAUAAUCUGGGUAGUGUUGUAUAUGUACUAUAAUAAUAUUCACGCAACAUUGGUUAAGGUAAUAAAAUCUAUUUUGCAAAACAUGGAAGUGAGGAUUGAACUUACAUGGCGAGGGAAAUUUUGCACAAUUUCA